Molecule: ribosomal RNA, 490 nt
Filed under: uncultured bacterium
Lineage: Bacteria
Description: bacterial SSU rRNA
Rfam family: Bacterial small subunit ribosomal RNA
Source: RNAcentral
AAAUGAAUAGACGGGGGCCCGCACAAGCAGUGGAGUAUGUGGUUUAAUUCGAAGCAACGCGAAGAACCUUACCAGGGCUUGACAUCCCUUGACGACGGUAGAGAUACCGUUUCCCUUCGGGGCAAGGAGACAGGUGGUGCAUGGUUGUCGUCAGCUCGUGUCGUGAGAUGUUGGGUUAAGUCCCGCAACGAGCGCAACCCCUACUGCCAGUUGCCAGCAUUUAGUUGGGCACUCUGGCGGGACUGCCGUUGACAAAACGGAGGAAGGUGGGGAUGAUGUCAAAUCAUCAUGCCCCUUAUGUCCUGGGCUACACACGUACUACAAUGGCCGCAACAGAGGGCUGCGACGCCGCGAGGCGAAGCGAAUCCCAAAAAGCGGUCUCAGUUCGAAUUGCAGGCUGAAACCCGCCUGCAUGAAGUCGGAAUUGCUAGUAAUGGCAGGUCAGCAUACUGCCGUGAAUACGUUCCCGGGCCUUGUACACACCGCCCGU